Molecule: non-coding RNA, 46 nt
Organism: Schistosoma margrebowiei
Lineage: Eukaryota; Metazoa; Platyhelminthes; Trematoda; Strigeidida; Schistosomatidae
Source: Rfam
AAACAGUUGAGGAGUCCCACAAUAGGACGAAACGACCGUCUAGUGU